AAAAAAUACGGUGUGUUUUUCUGGUUAUUAUUUCUACCAACGAUUUGUUCUAGUCCAGAAAACGAUAUUCUUGACGCACAUAACCGAUAUAGAGCGAAACACAGAGCCCCACCACUAAAAUUAAAUGCGAAACUCACCAAAGAUUGCGACGAUUAUGCCCACCAAUGCGUGGACCACAAUGAGCUUGUGUAUUCGAAAUCGGAUGGCCUUUAUGGCGAGAAUAUUUGCAGUGCUACGAACGCCACAAGAUGUGUG
Molecule: long non-coding RNA, 255 nt
Organism: Scaptodrosophila lebanonensis
Lineage: Eukaryota; Metazoa; Arthropoda; Insecta; Diptera; Drosophilidae
Exons: 3
Source: RefSeq, a predicted model, not a curated record